AUUGAACGCUGGCGACAGGCCUAACACAUGCAAGUCGAGCGCGAAAGUCUUCGGAUGAGUAAAGCGGCGAACGGGUGAGUAAUGCAUGGGAAUCUGCCUGGUAGUGGGGGACAACGUCUCGAAAGGGACGCUAAUACCGCAUACGCCCUACGGGGGAAAGGGGGGGAGUCUUCGGACCUCUCGCUAUCAGAUGAGCCCAUGUCAGAUUAGCUAGUUGGUGAGGUAAAGGCUCACCAAGGCGACGAUCUGUAACUGGUCUGAGAGGAUGAUCAGUCACACUGGAACUGAGACACGGUCCAGACUCCUACGGGAGGCAGCAGUGGGGAAUAUUGGACAAUGGGGGCAACCCUGAUCCAGCCAUGCCGCGUGUGUGAAGAAGGCCCUAGGGUUGUAAAGCACUUUCAGUGGGGAGAAAGGUUAUUCACCUAAAUACGUGAGUAGAUUGAUGUUACCCACAGAAGAAGCACCGGCUAACUCCGUGCCAGCAGCCGCGGUAAU
This 498-nucleotide ribosomal RNA is filed under the name uncultured bacterium. Its description in RNAcentral is "bacterial SSU rRNA". It matches the Rfam family "Bacterial small subunit ribosomal RNA", at positions 30 to 524 of the family's 1533-position model. The record is from RNAcentral.